AGUGAACGCUGGCGGUAGGCCUAACACAUGCCAGUCGAACGGCAGCACAGUAAGAGCUUGCUCUUACGGGUGGCGAGUGGCGGACGGGUGAGGAAUAAAUCGGAAUCUACUUUUUCGUGGGGGAUAACGUAGGGAAACUUACGCUAAUACCGCAUACGACCUACGGGUGAAAGCAGGGGAUCCUCGGACCUUGCGCGAUUGAAUGAGCCGAUGUCGGAUUAGCUAGUUGGCGGGGUAAAGGCCCACCAAGGCGACGAUCCGUAGCUGGUCUGAGAGGAUGAUCAGCCACACUGGAACUGAGACACGGUCCAGACUCCUACGGGAGGCAGCAGUGGGGAAUAUUGGACAAUGGGCGCAAGCCUGAUCCAGCCAUACCGCGUGGGUGAAGAAGGCCUUCGGGUUGUAAAGCCCUUUUGUUGGGAAAGAAAAGCAGCAGGUUAAUACCCCGCUGUUCUGACGGUACCCAAAGAAUAAGCACCGGCUAACUUCGUG
This 492-nucleotide ribosomal RNA is filed under the name uncultured bacterium. Its description in RNAcentral is "partial 16S ribosomal RNA". It matches the Rfam family "Bacterial small subunit ribosomal RNA", at positions 29 to 507 of the family's 1533-position model. The record is from RNAcentral.